This 729-nucleotide ribosomal RNA is filed under the name Streptomyces sp. Am 04. Its description in RNAcentral is "bacterial SSU rRNA". It matches the Rfam family "Bacterial small subunit ribosomal RNA", at positions 59 to 808 of the family's 1533-position model. Lineage: Bacteria; Bacillati; Actinomycetota; Actinomycetes; Kitasatosporales; Streptomycetaceae. The record is from RNAcentral.
AAGUCGAACGAUGAAGCCUUUCGGGGUGGAUUAGUGGCGAACGGGUGAGUAACACGUGGGCAAUCUGCCCUUCACUCUGGGACAAGCCCUGGAAACGGGGUCUAAUACCGGAUAACACUCUGUCCCGCAUGGGCGGGGUUAAAAGCUCCGGCGGUGAAGGAUGAGCCCGCGGCCUAUCAGCUUGUUGGUGGGGUGAUGGCCUACCAAGGCGACGACGGGUAGCCGGCCUGAGAGGGCGACCGGCCACACUGGGACUGAGACACGGCCCAGACUCCUACGGGAGGCAGCAGUGGGGAAUAUUGCACAAUGGGCGAAAGCUGAUGCAGCGACGCCGCGUGAGGGAUGACGGCCUUCGGGUUGUAAACCUCUUUCAGCAGGGAAGAAGCGAAAGUGACGGUACCUGCAGAAGAAGCGCCGGCUAACUACGUGCCAGCAGCCGCGGUAAUACGUAGGGCGCAAGGUUGUCCGGAAUUAUUGGGCGUAAAGAGCUCGUAGGCGGCUUGUCACGUCGGAUGUGAAAGCCCGGGGCUUAACCCCGGGUCUGCAUUCGAUACGGGCUAGCUAGAGUGUGGUAGGGGAGAUCGGAAUUCCUGGUGUAGCGGUGAAAUGCGCAGAUAUCAGGAGGAACACCGGUGGCGAAGGCGGRUCUCUGGGSCAUUACUGACGCUGAGGAGCGAAAGKGGAGGGGAGCGAACAGGAUUAGAUACCUGGUAGUCCACGCCGUAAACG